GGGAUCAAAAUAAUGAAGCCUUCCAGUAAACACACCAUUCAGCAAAUUCCCAGGUGCUCAGCACAAAGGAAGAAGUGGCAGGCAGUCUCAUUCUUCUGGAUCUAGGAGACAACAGAGCUCCUUGGAACUCAACAGCCUUUUGGGAGCAUCUCCUGGAAGAGCGAAUGAUCAGCUUCUCCACAGUGGAACGAGCAAUAGCAUAUAAAGGUGAUAAUGUGCACCAGUAAAAAAUAGCAGCAAGAGGCCCACCUACAGCUGCCCUAAAUACUCUGAGAUUGAAGAACUCUCUCUUGGGGUCUAGAUCAGGACCUCUUUCUAGUAACAUCUUCCUGGUGAGCACUGAAGGGAUGAUACUGAGGAGAC
RNAcentral lists this long non-coding RNA (363 nucleotides) under Papio anubis (olive baboon). Its description in RNAcentral is "lncRNA (ENSPANG00000049187.1)". The record is from RNAcentral. Lineage: Eukaryota; Metazoa; Chordata; Mammalia; Primates; Cercopithecidae.